Long non-coding RNA from Mytilus trossulus (common blue mussel), 1132 nucleotides. RefSeq lists it as uncharacterized. Lineage: Eukaryota; Metazoa; Mollusca; Bivalvia; Mytilida; Mytilidae. The record is from RefSeq and is a predicted model, not a curated record. The transcript is spliced from 3 exons.
ACAAUGCCAAUAAUUUCCACCAGUUAGUCAACCAUGAAGAUCUAUUUUCGAUUACAUUUAGACAGAAUACACAAAUUCCACAGUGUUCAGUGGUUUAUGGGCAAGCAGACUAUUCAAAAGAACUUCAAUCAACAACUGAUUCCCGGAGUCAAGCUUACAGAAUAUAUCUCCCAGGAACAGCCAUCAAAUCAAAGUGUCCAAAAACACUCAAAGUCAUGUGUAAUAUAGGAAAAAGAAGAAUAGUCAACACCCUGCAACCAGAUAACGCAGAUUGUCUUCAUACCACAUUAACACAAACGGAAGGACUCAAGGAACACGACAAGGAUCAGACUAUUGGAAUUGUUGGACUUGUGAUAUUCAUGAUAAUCUUUGUAGCCGUUGUUGGCAGCUGUAUUGUUUCUAUCAUCAUUAUGGAAUGUAAACGAGUUUUUAAGAGAUAUAUAUAAGUUACCUUCUCGACAGAUUUAGAUUUUGACAUUUUUACAAAACUGUCCUUAAAUGUUUCUUAAGAAAUUUGUAUUUCAAAUUAUAUUUGAUAUAUCAACAUACAUAGCAACGGUUGCUGAAAUUAAAUCUGAAGGUUUAACUAAAAUUUUUGACAUCGACCUACAUCUAGAACAUACAUGAUAUAAAUUAGAAGAUCCGGUAGGUGUGUCAAUAGCAUUAUAUGUAGGCCAGGGUCCAUGUCCUAAAUAGUUUUUAGAAAAACCAAACAUCACGUUUAAAAGUUAGCGCCUCUGAAAUCGACAUUUUAGCAAGUUUUGUAGUUUUUAACCUGCAAUAUUUUGUAAAGCGGUUAUAGUAGUAUUCGAAUUUAGCAGUUCAAGGUCUAACUAAGUUUUCCAAACUUUUUAUGAUCUAUUGUCUAGUUUUGCAUUAUUUUGUUACCAUCUAUUAUCUUAAAGCAAAACUCAUAUCAUAUAAUAAGUUUUGCGAGAAAUAUUCCUCUUUGUAUGUAAAAAGGUAGGACAAAUACACAGAUAAGAGUUAAAUCAACGUUCGAAAAUCACAACAUGACCAUUAGUUAAGGAGGUCAACGCAGCAAGCACAGAAACCGACAUCCUCUCUGAAAUCAUCAUAUUAGAUGCAUAUUUGCGUCAGUUUUUGUUUGACUCAAGAGUUGUGAAUAUCU